GGAGAGAUGGCAGAGCGGUUGAAUGCGACAGUCUCGAAAAUUGUUACACCUGCAAGGGUGUCGAGGGUUCGAAUCCCUCUCUCUCCG
Transfer RNA from Gloeocapsa sp. PCC 73106, 87 nucleotides. It matches the Rfam family "tRNA". Rfam says of the family: Transfer RNA (tRNA) molecules are approximately 80 nucleotides in length. The record is from Rfam. Lineage: Bacteria; Bacillati; Cyanobacteriota; Cyanophyceae; Chroococcidiopsidales; Chroococcidiopsidaceae.